AUUGAACGCUGGCGGCAGGCCUAACACAUGCAAGUCGAGCGGAGCGGCGGACGGGUGAGUAAUGCCUAGGAAUCUGCCUGGUAGUGGGGGAUGACGUCCGGAAACGGGCGCUAAUAACGCCUACGAUCAGACGGGUGUAGGUGGGAUUAGCUAGCUGGUGGGGUAAAGGCCUACCAAGGCGACGAUCCGUAACUGGUCUGAGAGGAUGAUCAGUCACACUGGAACUGAGACACGGUCCAGACUCCUACGGGAGGCAGCAGUGGGGAAUAUUGGACAAUGGGCGAAAGCCUGAUGCAGCCAUGCCGCGUGUGUGAAGAAGGCCUUCGGAUUGUAAAGUACUUUCAGUUGGGAGGCGUUACCGACAGAAGAAGCACCGGCUAACUUCGUGCCAGCAGCCGCGGUAAUUC
This 407-nucleotide ribosomal RNA is filed under the name uncultured bacterium. RNAcentral describes it as "partial 16S ribosomal RNA". It matches the Rfam family "Bacterial small subunit ribosomal RNA", at positions 30 to 526 of the family's 1533-position model. The record is from RNAcentral.